Molecule: ribosomal RNA, 460 nt
Filed under: uncultured bacterium
Lineage: Bacteria
Description: partial 16S ribosomal RNA
Rfam family: Bacterial small subunit ribosomal RNA
Source: RNAcentral
CCUACGGGUGGCAGCAGUGAGGAAUAUUGGUCAAUGGACGAGAGUCUGAACCAGCCAAGCAGCGUGAAGGAUGACUGCCCUAUGGGUUGUAAACUUCUUUUAUAUGGGAAUAAAAUGUUCCACGUGUGGGAUUUUGUAUGUACCAUAUGAAUAAGGAUCGGCUAACUCCGUGCCAGCAGCCGCGGUAAUACGGAGGAUCCGAGCGUUAUCCGGAUUUAUUGGGUUUAAAGGGAGCGUAGGUGGAUUGUUAAGUCAGUUGUGAAAGUUUGGGGCUCAACCGUAAAAUUGCAGUUGAAACUGGCAGUCUUGAGUACAGUAGAGGUGGGCGGAAUGCGUGGUGUAGCGGUGAAAUGCUUAGAUAUCACGAAGAACUCCGAUUGCGAAGGCAGUUCACUGGACUGCAACUGACACUGAGGCUCGAAAGUGUGGGUAUCAAACAGGAUUAGAUACCCGAGUAGUC